UACCUAACAGGGUUCAAGUUGGGAGUCUGUUGCCACUCAGAUUGCUGUUCAGCCAACUGCUCAGAUCGCAGUAGCACGUUACUGCCGUGAUUCUGAAUGAAGCGGACAGGCGAGGUGCUAGCUGCAUGGGUAAGGGGGAGUCUUCACAGACGUCAUCCCAGAAUGCAGUGGAACCACCAGAUGGCACCAAAGCUUUGAAGGCAGUGAAAUGCUACUCGUGUGGACGUCUAGGCCAUAUGACGAGGGAAUGCAGAUUUCCCAGGGCCAAGACAGAGCAGCGCAGCGAAAGCUCAUCGCGUGGAAAAGGCAAAGGUCCGGUGUCCAGGACAACGCAGCACAAGGCAAUGGUCUCACGCUUCACUCCAAAGGUUGCAAAGGUCCAGAAGAUGUCUAGAUCUUUCUUCAUGGUGGAUACGAGCGCAACGCACCACUUAUGCAACGACAAGCGACUGUUCAUGUCUUUUACACCGCAGGAAGGUGCGAUUCACCAGGCGGAUGACCACACGAUCCCCAGUCAAGGCUACGGAACUGUUGUUCUUCACAGUUUGGACUUAUCGAUACAAGAUGUUCUCUACGUUCCAGAUGCUUCACACAAUCUACUCAGUGUUGCGCAGCUGAAUGAACGGAAAAUUGACGUUUCCGUCAAGAAUAAGAAGUGCACCAUCACAAAGAAAAAUGAUUAUGUAUUGCAUGCUGAAUAUGUUGAUCGUUUGUUUGUUUUGUAUUAUGAUGAUGAUGUGCAGGAUGAAACUUGUUGCAUUGCAGGUUCUAACAAAAGUUUGCAUGCAGGAUGUAUUCAUGAUUUUCACAGGAAAUUUGGUCAUUUGCAUUUUGAGGCAGUAUAUAAAAUGCCUGCCUUGGUUGAAGGUAUGACUAUUAAACCCUGCAGGUACCACAUGAAGUGUAAGGCAUGCGCAGCAAACAAAGUGAAAAUGGCUCUGAAAGGUAAGGUGUCUAGUAGGCAAGCUACAGAACCAUACCAGGUAGUACAUGCUGAUUUGGUUGGUCCACUAUCGCCCUCUUUGGGUGGACACAGGUACUUCAUGGUACUCAGUGAUGCAUUUUCCAGGUAUAUUUAUGUGUACAAUCUUGAGCAGAAAUCAGAGGCUUUUCCAAGGUUCAAGGAAUUCUGUGCUUGGUUGGAAAAUGUGCAUGGUAAGAAGAUAAAGACUCUUUUCACUGAUCGCGGGGGGGGCGGGAAUUCACUUCUCAGCAGUUUGAAGCUUUUCUGACUGAGAAAGGAAUUCAGCACGAUUUGUCUAAUCCUCGCUCGCCAUGGCAGAACGGACUUUGUGAGAGAGCAAAUCAGACAUUGCUUCAAGGUCUAAAAACCUUGCUGCAUGAUGCCAAUCUUCCAGAGAGUUAUUGGGCGGAAUCUUUGGCGUGUUUUGUUUACAGUUAUAAUCGCAGGUUAUCUUCAGCGAUUGGUUGUUCCCCCUAUGAGAAGAUGUUUGGCAAGAAACCAUACAUCAAACACAUGAGAGUUUUUGGUUUUGACAUGUGGGUUCACACACCACUAAGCUCCAAGUUAGGCAAGCGUGGAUUGCAUGGUAUCUUUCUUGGGUAUCAGAAAGGUUCUUACAGAAUAAUGAUGACUGACUCUAAGACAAUUAGGCUCACAAGAAGUGUUGAGUACAAUGCCAAGUGGGGGGAGAAUGUGGGAAUUUUCCAAUGUUAUCCUGAUGACAGUGAUGAGACUGAGAAUAGGCAACAGCCACAGCAGCAGCAACAGCCACAGCUGCGGCAACAACCCACACCCACUGAUGAAGGUCCUGAUUCUGAGUCUGAGACUGAAUCGGGUGAUUCAGAGGAUUUCAAGAGUGUGAAAGCCUCUAUGCGACCCUCUGAAAGCUCUGAUCAAGAAUUGGAGGAACCAUUGUUCACAAUAGGUCAUUUUUCUCCUAAGAAGGAAGAGGAGAGUGUUGAAGACCUACGGCUAAUUCGCAGGUCUCAAAGAGCCACAAAGGGCAGACCUCCAAAGAGAUUUGCUGAUGAAUUUGCUAAGACAGCAGUAGCAGCUGUUAAAAGCUCCAAGAAGGUAUUUGAACCUUCAAGUUUCCAAGAAAUCCAGGAUUUGGAUUCAAAGGAUGCUGAGCCAUGGUUAAAUGCCAUGAAGGCUGAGCUUGAUUCCUUAGAGAGGAACAAAACAUGGGAGCUAGUUCCAGUAGUUCCAGGAAUGAAACUGCUUGGAAGCAAAUGGGUCUUCAAAGUGAAGACUGAUCAAAAUGGCAAGAUAGUCAGACACAAAGGCAGAUUGGAAGCCAGAGGUUUUUCACAGGUACCAGGUGAAGACUAUCACGAGACCUACUCGCCCACCAUGAGGUAUGAGAGCAUUAGGCUUAUGCUCAAACUUGCUGCAGAAGAGAAUCUUCACUUAAGUCACCACGACGUGAAUACAGCGUUUUUGUACGGAUCUCUAGGUGAAUCUCUUUAUAUGCUUCCACCUGAUGGCGUACAGGUAAAACAGGGAUUUGUUUGUUCUCUGAAGAAGUCUCUUUAUGGUCUCAAACAAAAUGCACGGUGUUGGCACACAAAACUCACUGAAGUAUUGUUUUCUCUAGGUUUUCAGCAAAGAAAAGCUGAUCCAUGUGUAUUUGUCAAAGAGGAGGAGCAAAAGAAGCUGUAUUGCUUGUUUUAUGUUGAUGAUAUUCUGUUCUUUUGGAAAGAUGUCACAAUGUACAAUAACGCCCUAGCUCAACUGAAAGAGCACUUUGACAUGAAAGAUCUUGGUGAGGUAAACAACUACCUAUCCCUGGAAAUAGAAAGAGGUCAAGAUGGUAACAUUCUAGUACACCAGUCACGAAAAAUUGCUGAUGUGUUAAGCAAACUAAACCUGAUGGAUGCUAACCCUGUAGACACACCGAUGGCAACAGGUUAUCAGGUAGAUGACACUGAAGAAGCAUUUUCUGACACUACACUGUACAGAAGUGUGCUAGGCAAACUAAACUUCAUUGCCAGAUGUUCAAGACCUGACAUUGCUGUUAGCUGUAAUUUACUAAGCAGACAAGUCAACAAUCCUACUGUUAAGGAUUGGAAAGCUCUGAAACGCAUAGCUCACUAUUUGAAAGGCACUAUGCAUUACAGACUAAGAUUUAACAAUCAGAAGUCUGGUGGUCUUGAGAUAUUUGCAGAUGCAAGUUUUGGAAGUGACACUACAGACAGGAAAAGCACGUCUGGAGUUUGCUAUAUGUACAAUCAGGGUCUUUUUGAUUGGUCAUGCAAGAAGCAAACAACAGUUAGCUUAAGUACUUGUGAAGCUGAACUGAAUGCACUGUCUUAUUCACUUGUGGAUUGUGAAUGGUUGUUACAGUUGUGUAAAGACAUGAGAAUUCCUGUCAAAUGUCCAAUCCAGGUUUAUCAGGACAGCAAAGCAUGUUUGGCUUUCCUGACUUCUGAAGGGUGUAAGCAAAGCACGAAGCACUUGCAAUUGAAGCUGCAACAUGCUAGAGAAUGUGUUCAGAAAGGACUUGUAAUGGUGUCCUACAUGCCAGGUAAUGAAAUUCCUGCUGAUUUAUUGUCCAAGGUUGUUCCGAAGGAUCAACACUGUACCUAUGUACAGAAAUUGGGUUUGUACUGAUAAUGUACUGACACGCUGCCCAGUGGUGUUCACAGAAAGGGGGAGGAUGUUAGUUUCUGUUUCUCACUGUGCAGCUGUGUGUUUACAUUCCAGAGACCUUGCAGUCUCACGGGAAAGGGAGACGGGAUGUGACGUUAGUGGUUUCCUGUUUCCUUUCUUCCUUUGUUCCUUUGUUCAGUUGCUCUCUGCUUUCAUAGAGAGAGGAUGUCUUUUCUGUUCUGCGUAGUUUAGAAAUAAAACUCUUUACAAUG
Molecule: non-coding RNA, 3828 nt
Organism: Podarcis lilfordi (Lilford's wall lizard)
Lineage: Eukaryota; Metazoa; Chordata; Lepidosauria; Squamata; Lacertidae
Source: the annotation of a GenBank genome assembly